AGGUCGUAACAAGGUUUCCGUAGGUGAACCUGCGGAAGGAUCAUUACCGAGUGCGGGCCCGCUCUGGGCCCAACCUCCCACCCGUGUCUCUUGCGUACUUUGUUGCUUUGGCGGGCCCACCGGGUCACUCCGGUCGCCGGGGGGCGCUAUGCUCCCGGGCCCGUGCCCGCCAGAGCACCCCUGUGAACCCUGAUGAAGAGCGGCUGUCUGAGUCCCACGAUAAUCGUUAAAACUUUCAACAAUGGAUCUCUUGGUUCCG
Molecule: unclassified non-coding RNA, 259 nt
Filed under: Talaromyces trachyspermus
Lineage: Eukaryota; Fungi; Ascomycota; Eurotiomycetes; Eurotiales; Trichocomaceae
Description: partial internal transcribed spacer region
Rfam family: Eukaryotic small subunit ribosomal RNA (bases 1-46)
Source: RNAcentral